Molecule: ribosomal RNA, 443 nt
Filed under: uncultured bacterium
Lineage: Bacteria
Description: partial 16S ribosomal RNA
Rfam family: Bacterial small subunit ribosomal RNA
Source: RNAcentral
CCUACGGGAGGCAGCAGUGGGGAAUAUUGGGCAAUGGGCGCAAGCCUGACCCAGCAACGCCGCGUGAAGGAAGAAGGCUUUCGGGUUGUAAACUUCUUUUCUCAGGGACGAAGUAAGUGACGGUACCUGAGGAAUAAGCCACGGCUAACUCCGUGCCAGCAGCCGCGGUAAUACGUAGGUGGCAAGCGUUAUCCGGAUUUACUGGGUGUAAAGGACGUGUAGGCGGGAGUGCAAGUCAGAUGUGAAAACCAAGGGCUCAACCUAUGGCCUGCAUUUGAAACUGUAGUUCUUGAGUACUGGAGAGGCAGACGGAAUUCCGAGUGUAGCGGUGAAAUGCGUAGAUAUUCGGAGGAACACCAGUGGCGAAGGCGGUUUGCUGGACAGCAACUGACGCUGAGGCGCGAAAGCGUGGGGAGCAAACAGGAUUAGAUACCCUUGUAGUC